This is a small nucleolar RNA of Callithrix jacchus (white-tufted-ear marmoset), 103 nucleotides long. The record is from Ensembl. NCBI's taxonomy places the organism in Eukaryota, Metazoa, Chordata, Mammalia, Primates, Cebidae.
AUCCUUUUGUAGCUCCUGAGCAUGGUGAUUGGGUGUUCAUGCUCAUGUGUGAGAUGUACCACCCUUGAACCUUGUUACAGCAUCACACAUUACCUGUCUGACA